UUCAAAAAUCAGCCGCUAUGGUUCUCCAAGUGAACUGUCACCCUUACAAGCACAGAGAGAAACGGCUUUGAUGCGAACAUGGGAGCUUGGAAGCCAACCUCAAGACCGGAGUCAGGUCAGACCUUCACUGAAGUGGAGUCACACCAUCUCAAAGCUCUCCCCCCCACACUGAUUCCUAACUGUGCAGGCCAGGCUGUGAGGAGAAGCUAUAGAUCCUGGGUUGCUGAUCAGGGAGAAACCAAGAUUCUGGUUAUAAGUGCGGUGUCCGCAACUCCUCUGAGCCACCUUCUACAAUGGAGGCAGAGCGAUCUUCUCAGACGUCAAAAGACCACUCUAUUUCUUUGCUUCAAACUUCUUGAUAACUUUUUGUGAUUUGUAGUGUAAAACCCCAAAUCCUUAACAAGGGCUACACUUUUAAAAACUGUUAAGAAGUAUUGUUAAUGGGAAAGAUGAUAUAUAUGUCCUAGAGUGAAAGCACAGGUUUCUUUUGUAUUAGUUCACAGAAUAGUGAGUUUCAUUUCGGCAUAUUUGUGUAGGCAUAGAGCGCUUUGAUAUUCUUAAAGCAGUAUUGUUCAGUUGAAAAAUUAAAUAGUUACUCAACUUAUUUAUCAAAAAAAUAUAAUGGUAUCAAUUUAAUGGGUUGAAAGUAGCAUUUUAAAAAUACAGUAUAAUAGAAUAUAUAAGAGUGAAUUGCAUGUAGUGAGGAUCAGUAUUACUUUUUUAACUUUUCUUCAAUUAUGCUUAGAUUAUGAUACAUGGCAUUGUAACUGUAUGUUGAAUUUAAUAUGGCAUGAUAAAUAUAUCCCCUUAUACAUUAGCUCAAUAAAUAUUUGCUGUGAAUAAG
This is a long non-coding RNA of Chinchilla lanigera (long-tailed chinchilla), 844 nucleotides long. Ensembl lists it as uncharacterized. NCBI's taxonomy places the organism in Eukaryota, Metazoa, Chordata, Mammalia, Rodentia, Chinchillidae. The record is from Ensembl.